RNAcentral lists this long non-coding RNA (208 nucleotides) under Lathyrus oleraceus (garden pea). RNAcentral describes it as "Pisum sativum (pea) long non-coding RNA (PSAT_LNC025715)". The record is from RNAcentral. Lineage: Eukaryota; Viridiplantae; Streptophyta; Magnoliopsida; Fabales; Fabaceae.
AAACCCAUUGAACAUAAUGAUCCAACGCCAUCUCCCAAUCUUGAAUUCCUUGUAUUCGAAGCAGAGGAAGAUGAUGUUGAAGGGGAUUCCUGACGAGAUUACCCGUUUUCUUGAGCACGAAAAGAAGCUCAUUCAGCUGUAUCAUGAGAAUCGGCAAAACAGUCAAACUGGGGCAUUACAAAUGUAAUGUAAAAAAAAAAAAAAAAAA